AUUCGUCGUGCAAGUUUCAAACAAUAGACACUCCAAGGAGAAUGUAAACUAUGCCGUCCAGUCGGAGCGCUGAGAAGGCGUGGCUUCGGGCCGCGGGCCAGUUCUUUGCGAAACCCGGCCCAAAAAUGCCCUGCCCAAGAACCACAUGCGACUUACGGAGGUUGUAAACAAAAGUGAAUGUGAAGCGGGAGGAAUGCUGCCCCUGGAAUUCAGCCUGAAAGAUGUUGUGUGAACUCCUUUUCUCUUCAUUAUGGUUCCUUUUUGUCAUCUUCUGGGUGGAGACCAUCAGUGUGUGGCUGUUCCUCUCCAUGUUCUAUCAAGACAGGGCCUUGUACAAUUGGGGGGAGGGGGGAUUCACAGAUGAUUCAGGAGAGAUGGCCUACAUGCUGCAAAGAAUCGAUGAACACAUCCGGAGAGAGAUGCAGAUCUGAAGCGGGAGACGAAGAAAUACUGGCAGUCAAUGCAGUAGAUGUUUUAAGGAGCACCCUCGAGACGCUGUGACAUCACAUGCCACCACGAUUAUGAGUCAGAUCCACAGUUAGGAAUCACACUAACCUGCGUAGCACCUUCUAUUUAAAUUGCUCCUAUUUUAUUCAGUCAUGAAAUUGACGUCCGUAAACUUUCUUUUCAACAGGUUCAGACUCUUAGUGUGGUGUUUCAAUCAUACUCUAACUCGAUCUCAUUUGAUCUUGAGACCAUUUUUAACAAUCACAAACAAAGAUCUGUUUGAUGUGAAAAACCAGGAGAC
Synchiropus splendidus (mandarinfish) is the source of this 748-nucleotide long non-coding RNA. RefSeq lists it as uncharacterized. NCBI's taxonomy places the organism in Eukaryota, Metazoa, Chordata, Actinopteri, Syngnathiformes, Callionymidae. The transcript is spliced from 4 exons. The record is from RefSeq and is a predicted model, not a curated record.